RNAcentral lists this ribosomal RNA (541 nucleotides) under uncultured bacterium. Its description in RNAcentral is "bacterial SSU rRNA". It matches the Rfam family "Bacterial small subunit ribosomal RNA", at positions 28 to 559 of the family's 1533-position model. The record is from RNAcentral.
GAUGAACGCUAGCGAUAGGCCUAACACAUGCAAGUCGAGGGGCAGCACAUGAGUAGCAAUACGAUGGUGGCGACCGGCGCACGGGUGAGUAACACGUAUGCAACCUACCUCUAACAGGGGGAUAACCCGUUGAAAGACGGACUAAUACCCCAUAAUACAGGGGCUCCGCAUGGAGAUAUUUGUUAAAGAUUUUAUCGGUUAGAGAUGGGCAUGCGUUCCAUUAGCUAGUUGGUGAGGUAACGGCUCACCAAGGCGACGAUGGAUAGGGGAACUGAGAGGUUUAUCCCCCACACUGGAACUGAGACACGGUCCAGACUCCUACGGGAGGCAGCAGUGAGGAAUAUUGGUCAAUGGAGGCAACUCUGAACCAGCCAAGUCGCGUGAAGGAUGAAGGUCUUAUGGAUUGUAAACUUCUUUUGCAGGGGAAUAAAUAGCGGUACGUGUACCGUUUUGCAUGUACCCUGCGAAUAAGGAUCGGCUAACUCCGUGCCAGCAGCCGCGGUAAUACGGAGGAUCCGAGCGGUAUCCGGAUUUAUUGGGU